This is a small nucleolar RNA of Tupaia belangeri (northern tree shrew), 131 nucleotides long. The record is from Ensembl. Lineage: Eukaryota; Metazoa; Chordata; Mammalia; Scandentia; Tupaiidae.
GCACGGACUUGGAUUUAUGACAGGCUCAUCCUCCUGGGUCCCCCAUCGUGCCCCCUGCCAGAGCAAACUGGCCCCGACCCAUGCCCGGUCUCUGCCUGUGGGAUGCUGCCUCUGAAGCGGGUUGCACGAUG